RNAcentral lists this ribosomal RNA (253 nucleotides) under uncultured bacterium. RNAcentral describes it as "partial 16S ribosomal RNA". It matches the Rfam family "Bacterial small subunit ribosomal RNA", at positions 524 to 776 of the family's 1533-position model. The record is from RNAcentral.
UACGUAGGGGGCUAGCGUUGUCCGGAAUCAUUGGGCGUAAAGAGCGUGUAGGCGGUCCGGUAAGUCCGCUGUGAAAGUCGGGGGCUCAACCCUCGAAUGCCGGUGGAUACUGUCGGGCUAGAGUGCGGAAGAGGCGAGUGGAAUUCCUGGUGUAGCGGUGAAAUGCGUAGAUAUCGGGAGGAACACCAGUGGCGAAGGCGGGUCUCUGGGCAGUAACUGACGCUGAGGAGCGAAAGCGUGGGGAGCGAACAGG